This 399-nucleotide ribosomal RNA is filed under the name uncultured bacterium. Its description in RNAcentral is "partial 16S ribosomal RNA". It matches the Rfam family "Bacterial small subunit ribosomal RNA", at positions 360 to 776 of the family's 1533-position model. The record is from RNAcentral.
AAUAUUGUACAAUGUGCGAAAGCCUGAUGCAGCAACGCCGCGUGAGUGAUGAAGGCCUUCGGUUCGUAAAGCUCUUUUUAUAGGGAAGAUAAUGACGGUACCUGAUAAACAAGCUACGUCUAACUACGUGCCAGCAGCCGCGGUAAUACGUAGGUGGCGAGCGUUGUCCGGAAUUACUGGGCGUAAAGGGUGCGUAGGUGGAUAUGUAAGUGGGAUGUGAAAUCCCCGGGCUCAACCCCGGAACUGCAUCCCAAACUAGAUAUCUAGAGUGCGAGAGAGGAGAGCGGAAUUCCUAGUGUAGCGGUGAAAUGCGUAGAUAUUAGGAGGAACACCAGUGGCGAAGGCGGCUUUCUGGACUGUAACUGACACUGAGGCAUGAAAGCGUGGGUAGCAAACAGG